GACGAACGCUGGCGGCGUGCUUAACACAUGCAAGUCGAACGGAAAGGCCCUGCUUGCAGGGUACUCGAGUGGCGAACGGGUGAGUAACACGUGGGUGAUCUGCCCUCCACUUCGGGAUAAGCCUGGUAAACUGGGUCUAAUACCGGAUAGGAGCCAUUUUUAGUGUGAUGGUUGGAAAGUUUUUUCGGUGUAGGAUGAGCUCGCGGCCUAUCAGCUUGUUGGUGGGGUAAUGGCCUACCAAGGCGGCGACGGGUAGCCGGCCUGAGAGGGUGGACGGCCACAUUGGGACUGAGGUACGGCCCAGACUCCUACGGGAGGCAGCAGUGGGGAAUAUUGCACAAUGGGCGCAAGCCUGAUGCAGCGACGCCGCGGGGGGGAUGACGGCCUUCGGGUUGUAAACUCCUUUCGCUAGGGACGAAGCUUUUUGUGACGGUACCUAGAUAAGAAGCACCGGCUAACUACGUG
Molecule: ribosomal RNA, 465 nt
Filed under: uncultured bacterium
Lineage: Bacteria
Description: partial 16S ribosomal RNA
Rfam family: Bacterial small subunit ribosomal RNA
Source: RNAcentral